Molecule: transfer RNA, 73 nt
Filed under: Caudoviricetes sp.
Lineage: Duplodnaviria; Heunggongvirae; Uroviricota; Caudoviricetes
Description: tRNA-Trp
Rfam family: tRNA
About the family: Transfer RNA (tRNA) molecules are approximately 80 nucleotides in length. Their secondary structure includes four short double-helical elements and three loops (D, anti-codon, and T loops). Further hydrogen bonds mediate the characteristic L-shaped molecular structure. tRNAs have two regions of fundamental functional importance: the anti-codon, which is responsible for specific mRNA codon recognition, and the 3' end, to which the tRNAs corresponding amino acid is attached (by aminoacyl-tRNA synthetases). tRNAs cope with the degeneracy of the genetic code in two manners: having more than one tRNA (with a specific anti-codon) for a particular amino acid; and 'wobble' base-pairing, i.e. permitting non-standard base-pairing at the 3rd anti-codon position.
Source: RNAcentral
ACUCCGGUAGCUCGAGUGGUAGAGCGGCGGUCUCCAAAACCGCAUGUUGCAGGUUCGAGUCCUGCCGGGAGCG